GAGGCCUCCAAAAUUCCAUCUUGUCUCUAGAUUAUUCCUCGUUUCUCUGCCUGACUUCCAUGUACUGCUUUCUUUUUUGCAGUUUCAUGACAACAACCGUAAGAUCUAACUUAUCAAUACUUUGGAAAGUAUGUGUUUGGAAAGUAUUUAUACAGAAUUGGAAUUCAUGAUCUAAAUUCUAAAGUCUUCACCUUUUAUAAGGUGAAUAGAACUUGUUGAAAAUUUCACAACAAAACAUUCUUUUAUUCGGCAAGGAGAGAGAGGAAUAGACCAUGUACUCAUUUAUUCUCAUCCCAUCUACAAUUUUUCCCCCUCUUAUUAUUUAAUUUGAGUUUCUAACUACAAGAGGCAAAAUGCUUUUCUUUUCCCUUCUAAGCCACACCCUGAAUCUAUGUUUGCUUAGAAAGUUGAUGCCAGGACAUCUUCAUCAUUCUCAUUGCUUCACUGUCAUACCUCCUGAUAUGAAAGUUUUGUCCUAUAUCCUUCUUCGAGAUGUAUCUGACGUCUUAAGCUGGUUAUUAAGCUCCAUCAUUUUGGCAAUUCUUCAUAUUACAUCCUUUAUACAACAUUAUUUUUCUUUACUUUUGAUAUUUAUUUAUUUAUUGUCUAAUUAAUGCUAGUCAAAGCACAAAUUUCUUUGUUCUUGUGACAUUUUUGGAUAAUUUUGUGGAACUGUCUUCUUCAAUUCAAAUCCCUUCAAAUCAGAACUAAUGUAAUUAUUAUUAUUAUUUUUUGAUGUCAUGCAUGACCAGUGCAGUGUUUCUCUAUGGAGUCUCUACAUAAACUUACAAUUCUCUAAUUGAGAGCUUGAUAGCUUUAAUUCGUUUAAAUCCUAGGAACCUCAUAUUACUGAAAGUUUUUAGCUAAUCCUCUCACUGCCAAAUCACACUUUAUGAUAGUCCCGUAAGAUAUCAUUGACUCAUAUUGAAUUGAUAUGCAUUGCUAGAGGUCAAUUGCAGUGACUUAACUAGCACAUAUAAAUUCCAAAGUGGUCCAUAAUUAUCUCUGUCCCUCAAAUUUUUUCCAUUUUAUCUUUCAAGUGAUACUGAUUGUACCAAAAACCCUGUAAUUGUUGCUUCGAAAUUCACUGGUUGAGUAACUCAUAUGCGGGCUGUUUUGUUGCUUAAGCUUCAAGGAAUUUAUGGUGGUUCAUUUCAUUUAUUUUAAUAUUGUUUAAAAUUUUAAAUACUUUUCACUUCCAAUCCUGACUACAUUUGGAUCCAAUUCUGCUGGUGCACUA
Molecule: long non-coding RNA, 1240 nt
Filed under: Phoenix dactylifera (date palm)
Lineage: Eukaryota; Viridiplantae; Streptophyta; Magnoliopsida; Arecales; Arecaceae
Description: long non-coding RNA (PDAC_LNC015329)
Source: RNAcentral